CCCCUUUCUCUCCUUCUCUUCCUCCUCCUUUCCCCUCCUCCAAUCGAAGAAGCCACCCAACCCCUCCCAGAUGAAUCCGACCCUAACCAGUACCUACAGAUCUCUUACAAUUAUGGUAUCAGACCCUUCAAGGACCUUCCCUAUCUCAUUCUCUUUGCUUUCUUUGUUAUUUGCACUUUCGCUUUUGGAAUCUUCUCUAUUUUCCACAGAAACCAAAAUUACUCCAGGCUUUCCUCCUAUACAUACGACUUCAACUCAACUUCUUGCGUCAAGGACUCGUUGUCUUCGUCCACUGAUGGUUUUUUCGAAACUCAUGUGUAUUAUUACCUUUUGAGUUCGUCGAAUUCUGGUGUUUGGAAAGCUUUGAUAUGGAGUCUUGUAAUUACUUUGAUCUUGAGUGCACCCAUUUGCUUUCUUUUGCUUUUGUUGCUCAAUCAUUACACCAAGCAGAUUGUGUACAUCUCGCUUCCCUUCUUUGUCGUUAUUCCCAUCUUUUUCAAUGUUUAUUGGUUCGUUGCCUGCACAGUUAGCUCUUCUUGCAGCGAUGUAUUCCCGUUGGUUUAUAGGAUUUUGGUGCUGGUUUUUGUCUUCUUGGUUAUUGGGGUCAUUGUGUGGAUUUUUGUGGUUAAUUGGCAUAGAAUUGAGUUGACUGUGAUGAUAAUUGGGGUUGCCUCCGAUGCACUUUCUAAGAAUUUGGGCUUAUUUGUGGCGUUACCGUUAUUGACACUUUGUUUAGUGGUUUAUUAUGCUCCAAUUAUAGUGUUUUUGGUGUUUUCAAGGCAUAAUGGGAAAAUUGUGCCAAAGGAAUCCAGUGCUGGGUAUGCUUGUGUUUGGAGGAAGCAGGAUAGUUGGGUGCCUGCGUACUAUGCAUUGGCAAUUCUUACAAUGCUGUGGUCUUUGACUGUAAUGAUCGAAGCUCAGGUUUAUGUGAUCAGUGGGACUAUUGCUCAGUGGUACUUCACAAAGGAAGACUCAGCUCCUAAGAGGAGUAUUAGAAGCUCUUUGAGAAAUGCAUUUGGCCCCUCCUCUGGAACUGUAUGCCUAUCUGGACUACUUAUUUGUGUUGUUCGUAUGGUGCGGGCUGCUGUUGAUAGUGCAAGACAAGAGGAUAUUCCUGGGAUGGUGAACCUUAUAUUGCGGUGUUGUGUUAAUGCAUUACUGUCAGCAGUAGAUUUUCUUAACAAGUUCACAAUCAACUUUGCGGCAAUAACUGGUGAAGCCUACUGUACCUCUGCAAGAAUGACAUAUGAGCUCUUAAAACGCAAUCUUCUCUCUGCCGUUUUCGUGGAGACUGUCUCAUCUCGUUUGUUGGCUGGAAUUGCCUUUGUCCUCUCAGCAAUAUAUGCAAUUGUGGUUUUUGUCCUCUUUUAUGCGAUCAAUCUUGGGGUUGACUCAUAUCUUGUAUCUUUUCUUGCAUGGAUGCUUUUGAUAGUGGUUCUGGGCUUCUUUGUCCGUGUGCUGGACAAUGUGAUUGACACUAUUUAUGUAUGCUAUGCCAUAGAUAGAGAUAGGGGCGAGGUUUACAAACAAGAUGUUCAUGAGGUUUAUAUUCACUUGCCCAUCAGCAGAAACCAUAGAUCGCUUAUUGUUCCGAGAACUCACGAUGUAUGAUAAAAAUCCUUGACCUAUCAAGUGCUGCCUGGAAACUUCUCUCUUUAUUGAACAAGCGUCAAAAAUGACAAUACAUCAAUUGGAAGUAUGCACAACUUGUCAACUGGCAGUUACA
This 1726-nucleotide unclassified non-coding RNA is filed under the name Hevea brasiliensis (rubber tree). Lineage: Eukaryota; Viridiplantae; Streptophyta; Magnoliopsida; Malpighiales; Euphorbiaceae. The record is from RNAcentral.